Gasterosteus aculeatus aculeatus (three-spined stickleback) is the source of this 659-nucleotide non-coding RNA. The record is from RefSeq and is a predicted model, not a curated record. NCBI's taxonomy places the organism in Eukaryota, Metazoa, Chordata, Actinopteri, Perciformes, Gasterosteidae.
CGGCUUCGAGAAGGGCUUCAGAUUUACUUCCAUGUAUAAACCCCUCAGGCUCCAUUCAAGAUGUGGGUUGUUGGUGGAGAGUUGGUCAGUUAGAGUUUGGAUGGUUGGGAUAGUUUAUAUCGUUUGGAGAGUUUAGAGAGAGAUAGUUGAGAGUGAGGAGAGAAGGACAGGUGAUAAGAUGGAGCCAGCUAGGAAGAGGAGGACUUCCUCUGUGAUUAGAUCACUCCUAAUAAGGUGAGCUGAAUCUCACUCUAUUUCAGACACAUUAGGUUUGCUUAUCAAGAACUGUAUUUUUCAGUUUCUUAUUUGAUUCAAAGGUGAGGUGUUUAUUGUGCUCCGAGGAGUUUGGGUGCAAUAACAGCACCUCCUCCAUGCUGAGGCCUCACCGUGCCUUGCAUGAGAAUAAGGAGGAACCUGGAGCUUCACCCAGCCAAGAGCUGGAUGAAGCCUCGUCUCCAUGACAGCGAAGGACACGCAGCCCUUCAGUAUUGUGGAUGAUUCAGGGCAUUUGUGUCCAAACUGGAUCCUCAUCAUGUUCUCCCUACAAGGCAGGCUCUGCAGGCCGUGGUGGAGGCUGAGUAGGAGUCAGCUAAGGAGAAGGCUAAAGUGGAAAAGGUGGCUGCUGUUAGCCUUACUUCUGACAUGUGGACAUCCAUCAG